This 104-nucleotide microRNA precursor is filed under the name Canis lupus familiaris (dog). RNAcentral's name for it is "miRNA (ENSCAFG00845006924.1)". Lineage: Eukaryota; Metazoa; Chordata; Mammalia; Carnivora; Canidae. The record is from RNAcentral.
CCAGCUCGAUCACCUCUGGCUCUGAAGCUUUAGCAGGCCCCGAGGUAGGAGCUGGGGCCGGUUGUUGAGGUGGUUCAGGAUAUUGCACAGGGCAGACACUAGUU